RNAcentral lists this ribosomal RNA (478 nucleotides) under uncultured bacterium. RNAcentral describes it as "partial 16S ribosomal RNA". It matches the Rfam family "Bacterial small subunit ribosomal RNA", at positions 28 to 523 of the family's 1533-position model. The record is from RNAcentral.
GACGAACGCUGGCGGCGUGCUUAACACAUGCAAGUCGAACGGUAAGGCCCUUCGGGGUACACGAGUGGCGAACGGGUGAGUAACACGUGGGUGAUCUGCCCUGCACUUCGGGAUAAGCCUGGGAAACUGGGUCUAAUACCGGAUAGGACCACUGCCUGCAUGGGUGGUGGUGGAAAGCUUUUGCGGUGUGGGAUGGGCCCGCGGCCUAUCAGCUUGUUGGUGGGGUGAUGGCCUACCAAGGCGACGACGGGUAGCCGGCCUGAGAGGGUGACCGGCCACACGGGGACGGAGAUACGGCCCAGACUCCGACGGGAGGCAGCAGUGGGGAAUAUUGCACAAUGGGCGCAAGCCUGAUGCAGCGACGCCGCGUGAGGGAUGACGGCCUUCGGGUUGUAAACCUCUUUCAGCACCGACGAAGCGCAAGUGACGGUAGGUGCAGAAGAAGGACCGGCCAACUACGUGCCAGCCGCCGCUGUAA